RNAcentral lists this ribosomal RNA (215 nucleotides) under Glomeromycotina sp. RNAcentral's name for it is "partial small subunit ribosomal RNA". The stretch from base 40 to 215 matches the Rfam family "Eukaryotic small subunit ribosomal RNA", at positions 686 to 864 of the family's 1831-position model. Lineage: Eukaryota; Fungi; Glomeromycota. The record is from RNAcentral.
GGGUCAGUAGGUUGGUCGUGCCAUCGGUACGUACUGGUCUCACUGAUUCCUCCUUCCUGAAGAACCGUAAUGCCAUUAAUUUGGUGUUGCGGGGAAACAGGACUGUUACUUUGAAAAAAUUAGAGUGUUUAAAGCAAGCUAACGCUUGAAUACAUUAGCAUGGAUAAUGAAAUAGGACGAUCGAUCCUAUUUUGUUGGUUUCUAGGAUUGACGUA